RNAcentral lists this long non-coding RNA (336 nucleotides) under Mytilus galloprovincialis (Mediterranean mussel). Lineage: Eukaryota; Metazoa; Mollusca; Bivalvia; Mytilida; Mytilidae. The record is from RNAcentral.
GAAAAUUGAUUAAGAGAUAGUUGAUUUGACCACACAAUUGGAAACAUUUACAAACAUCCCAAGAUUAUGACAUCUUAUUAGUUUCAGACACUUGUCAUGCUUGUGAUAUAAACAGGCAAGUUGAAAACUUGACCUUCAUCUAUAUGUCCAGAUUGUAUCAUGAUAAAUGUAAUGAAGCUUGAAAUAGUGACCAUGGUGACCAGCUCAUCCCUACCACUUAUUGAAAUUAGAUUUCUUGUUUGAAAAUGCAAGUUAUUCAACAAUACUACCUGCUAAAGUUCACUUAUGCAUGCAAUUAGCAUUCCAUAAAAUUUCUAGACCUUGAUAUCUUCAAAG